UACGUAGGGGGCAAGCGUUGUCCGGAAUCAUUGGGCGUAAAGAGCGUGUAGGCGGCCUGGUAAGUCCGCUGUGAAAGUCCAGGGCUCAACCCUGGAAUGCCGGUGGAAACUGUCAGGCUCGAGUCCGGAAGAGGCGAGUGGAAUUCCUGGUGUAGCGGUGAAAUGCGCAGAUAUCAGGAGGAACACCAAUGGCGAAGGCAGCUCGCUGGGUCGGUACUGACGCUGAGACGCGAAAGCGUGGGGAGCAAACAGG
RNAcentral lists this ribosomal RNA (253 nucleotides) under uncultured bacterium. RNAcentral describes it as "partial 16S ribosomal RNA". It matches the Rfam family "Bacterial small subunit ribosomal RNA", at positions 524 to 776 of the family's 1533-position model. The record is from RNAcentral.